UACGGGGGGAGCAAGCGUUGUUCGGAUUUACUGGGCGUAAAGGGCGCGUAGGCGGCCAACUAAGUCAGACGUGAAAUCCCUCGGCUUAACCGGGGAACUGCAUCUGAUACUGGAUGGCUUGAGUUCGGGAGAGGGACGCGGAAUUCCAGGUGUAGCGGUGAAAUGCGUGGAUAUCUGGAGGAACACCGGUGGCGAAGGCGGCAUCCUGGACCGACACUGACGCUGAGGAGCGAAAGCCAGGGGAGCAAACGGG
RNAcentral lists this ribosomal RNA (253 nucleotides) under uncultured bacterium. RNAcentral's name for it is "partial 16S ribosomal RNA". It matches the Rfam family "Bacterial small subunit ribosomal RNA", at positions 524 to 776 of the family's 1533-position model. The record is from RNAcentral.